RNAcentral lists this ribosomal RNA (497 nucleotides) under uncultured bacterium. RNAcentral's name for it is "partial 16S ribosomal RNA". It matches the Rfam family "Bacterial small subunit ribosomal RNA", at positions 28 to 507 of the family's 1533-position model. The record is from RNAcentral.
GAUGAACGCUGGCGGCGUGCCUAAUACAUGCAAGUCGAGCGAACGGACGAGAAGCUUGCUUCUCUGAUGUUAGCGGCGGACGGGUGAGUAACACGUGGAUAACCUACCUAUAAGACUGGGAUAACUUCGGGAAACCGGAGCUAAUACCGGAUAAUAUUUUGAACCGCAUGGUUCAAAAGUGAAAGACGGUCUUGCUGUCACUUAUAGAUGGAUCCGCGCUGCAUUAGCUAGUUGGUAAGGUAACGGCUUACCAAGGCAACGAUGCGUAGCCGACCUGAGAGGAUGAUCGGCCACACUGGAACUGAGACACGGUCCAGACUCCUACGGGAGGCAGCAGUAGGGAAUCUUCCGCAAUGGGCGAAAGCCUGACGGAGCAACGCCGCGUGAGUGAAGAAGGUCUUCGGAUCGUAAAGCUCUGUUAUUAGGGAAGAACAUAUGUGUAAGUAACUGUGCACAUCUUGACGGUACCUAAUCAGAAAGCCACGGCUAACUACGUG